This 508-nucleotide ribosomal RNA is filed under the name Blicca bjoerkna (white bream). RNAcentral's name for it is "partial 16S ribosomal RNA". It matches the Rfam family "Bacterial large subunit ribosomal RNA", at positions 1857 to 2565 of the family's 2925-position model. Lineage: Eukaryota; Metazoa; Chordata; Actinopteri; Cypriniformes; Leuciscidae. The record is from RNAcentral.
GCCUGCCCAGUGACUACGGGUUCAACGGCCGCGGUAUUUUGACCGUGCAAAGGUAGCGCAAUCACUUGUCUCUUAAAUAGAGACCUGUAUGAAUGGCUAGACGAGGGCUUAACUGUCUCCCCCCUCCAGUCAGUGAAAUUGAUCUAUCCGUGCAGAAGCGGGUAUAACUAUACAAGACGAGAAGACCCUUUGGAGCUUAAGGUACAAAUUCAACCACGUUAAACGACUCCAUAGAAAGCAAGAACUUAGUGGCGAAUGAAAUUUUACCUUCGGUUGGGGCGACCACGGAGGAGAAAGAAGCCUCCGAGUGGACUGGGCUAAACCCUAAAGCCAAGAGAUACAUCUACAAGCCGCAGAACAUCUGACCAAUAAUGAUCCGACUGAAAAGCCGAUCAACGAACCAAGUUACCCUAGGGAUAACAGCGCAAUCCUCUCCCAGAGUCCAUAUCGACGAGGGGGUUUACGACCUCGAUGUUGGAUCAGGACAUCCUAAUGGUGCAGCCGCUAU